This 83-nucleotide microRNA precursor is filed under the name Ovis aries (sheep). RNAcentral's name for it is "miRNA (ENSOARG00000024006.1, ENSOARG00020091722.1)". The record is from RNAcentral. Lineage: Eukaryota; Metazoa; Chordata; Mammalia; Artiodactyla; Bovidae.
AUUGGCUGGCCAAAACGUUUGUUCAGGAUUUUCCAUAUGAUGUUAUGGAAAAACCAGAACGAACUUUUUGGCCAACCCAUUAC